RNAcentral lists this ribosomal RNA (252 nucleotides) under uncultured Bacteroidales bacterium. Its description in RNAcentral is "partial 16S ribosomal RNA". It matches the Rfam family "Bacterial small subunit ribosomal RNA", at positions 524 to 776 of the family's 1533-position model. Lineage: Bacteria; Pseudomonadati; Bacteroidota; Bacteroidia; Bacteroidales. The record is from RNAcentral.
UACGGAGGAUGCGAGCGUUAUCCGGAUUUAUUGGGUUUAAAGGGUGCGCAGGCGGAUUUUUAAGUCAGCGGUCAAAUCGUGGGGCUCAACCCCAUCCAGCCGUUGAAACUGGGGGGCUUGAGUAUGUUUGAGGCAGGCGGAAUGCGUGGUGUAGCGGUGAAAUGCAUAGAUAUCACGCAGAACCCCGAUUGCGAAGGCAGCAUGCCGGCUCCACACUGACGCUGAGGCACGAAAGCGUGGGUAUCGAACAGG